GAUGAACGCUGGCGGCGUGCCUAAUACAUGCAAGUCGAGCGAACAGACGAGGAGCUUGCUCCUCUGACGUUAGCGGCGGACGGGUGAGUAACACGUGGAUAACCUACCUAUAAGACUGGGAUAACUUCGGGAAACCGGAACUAAUACCGGAUAAUAUAUUGAACCGCAUGGUUCAAUAGUGAAAGACGGUUUUGCUGUCACUUAUAGAUGGAUCCGCGCCGCAUUAGCUAGUUGGUAAGGUAACGGCUUACCAAGGCGACGAUGCGUAGCCGACCUGAGAGGGUGAUCGGCCACACUGGAACUGAGAAACGGUCCAGAAUCCUACGGGAGGCAGCAGUAGGGAAUCUUCCGCAAUGGGCGAAAGCCUGACGGAGCAACGCCGCGUGAGUGAUGAAGGUCUUCGGAUCGUAAAACGCUGUUAUUAGGGAAGAACAAAUGUGUAAGUAACGAUGCACGUCUUGACGGUACCUAAUCAGAAAACCACGGCUAACUACGU
This 496-nucleotide ribosomal RNA is filed under the name uncultured bacterium. RNAcentral's name for it is "partial 16S ribosomal RNA". It matches the Rfam family "Bacterial small subunit ribosomal RNA", at positions 28 to 506 of the family's 1533-position model. The record is from RNAcentral.